RNAcentral lists this ribosomal RNA (1287 nucleotides) under metagenome. RNAcentral's name for it is "bacterial SSU rRNA". It matches the Rfam family "Bacterial small subunit ribosomal RNA", at positions 242 to 1520 of the family's 1533-position model. The record is from RNAcentral.
UAGCUAGUUGGUGAGGUAAAGGCUUACCAAGGCGACGAUCUGUAGCGGGUCUGAGAGGAUGAUCCGCCACACUGGAACUGAGACACGGUCCAGACUCCUACGGGAGGCAGCAGUGGGGAAUUUUGGACAAUGGGGGCAACCCUGAUCCAGCCAUGCCGCGUGAGUGAAGAAGGCCUUCGGGUUGUAAAGCUCUUUCGGCCGGGAAGAAAUCGCAUGGGCCAAUACCCUGUGUGGAUGACGGUACCGGAAUAAGAAGCACCGGCUAACUACGUGCCAGCAGCCGCGGUAAUACGUAGGGUGCGAGCGUUAAUCGGAAUUACUGGGCGUAAAGCGUGCGCAGGCGGUGUUGUAAGACAGGCGUGAAAUCCCCGGGCUUAACCUGGGAACUGCGUUUGUGACUGCAAGGCUAGAGUACGGCAGAGGGGGGUGGAAUUCCACGUGUAGCAGUGAAAUGCGUAGAGAUGUGGAGGAACACCAAUGGCGAAGGCAGCCCCCUGGGUCGAUACUGACGCUCAUGCACGAAAGCGUGGGUAGCAAACAGGAUUAGAUACCCUGGUAGUCCACGCCCUAAACUAUGUCAACUAGGUAUUGGGUGGGUAAAACCAUUUAGUACCGUAGCUAACGCGUGAAGUUGACCGCCUGGGGAGUACGGCCGCAAGGUUAAAACUCAAAGGAAUUGACGGGGACCCGCACAAGCGGUGGAUGAUGUGGAUUAAUUCGAUGCAACGCGAAAAACCUUACCUACCCUUGACAUGCCAGGAACUUGCCAGAGAUGGCUUGGUGCCCGAAAGGGAGCCCGGACACAGGUGCUGCAUGGCUGUCGUCAGCUCGUGUCGUGAGAUGUUGGGUUAAGUCCCGCAACGAGCGCAACCCUUGUCGUUAAUAGCCAUCAUUUAGUUGGGCACUUUAACGAGACUGCCGGUGACAAACCGGAGGAAGGUGGGGAUGACGUCAAGUCCUCAUGGCCCUUAUGGGUAGGGCUUCACACGUCAUACAAUGGUCGGUACAAAGGGUUGCCAAGCCGCGAGGCGGAGCCAAUCCCAGAAAGCCGAUCGUAGUCCGGAUUGCAGGCUGCAACUCGCCUGCAUGAAGUCGGAAUCGCUAGUAAUCGUGGAUCAGCAUGUCACGGUGAAUACGUUCCCGGGUCUUGUACACACCGCCCGUCACACCAUGGGAGCGGGUUCCGCCAGAAGUAGGUAGCCUAACCGCAAGGGGGGCGCUUACCACGGCGGGGUUCGUGACUGGGGUGAAGUCGUAACAAGGUAGCCGUAAGGGAACCUGCGGCUG